RNAcentral lists this ribosomal RNA (661 nucleotides) under Brucella thiophenivorans. Its description in RNAcentral is "bacterial SSU rRNA". It matches the Rfam family "Bacterial small subunit ribosomal RNA", at positions 24 to 733 of the family's 1533-position model. The record is from RNAcentral. Lineage: Bacteria; Pseudomonadati; Pseudomonadota; Alphaproteobacteria; Hyphomicrobiales; Brucellaceae.
UCAGAACGAACGCUGGCGGCAGGCUUAACACAUGCAAGUCGAGCGCCCCGCAAGGGGAGCGGCAGACGGGUGAGUAACGCGUGGGAAUCUACCUUUUGCUACGGAAUAACUCAGGGAAACUUGUGCUAAUACCGUAUGUGCCCUUCGGGGGAAAGAUUUAUCGGCAAAGGAUGAGCCCGCGUUGGAUUAGCUAGUUGGUGAGGUAAAGGCUCACCAAGGCGACGAUCCAUAGCUGGUCUGAGAGGAUGAUCAGCCACACUGGGACUGAGACACGGCCCAGACUCCUACGGGAGGCAGCAGUGGGGAAUAUUGGACAAUGGGCGCAAGCCUGAUCCAGCCAUGCCGCGUGAGUGAUGAAGGUCUUAGGAUUGUAAAGCUCUUUCACCGGUGAAGAUAAUGACGGUAACCGGAGAAGAAGCCCCGGCUAACUUCGUGCCAGCAGCCGCGGUAAUACGAAGGGGGCUAGCGUUGUUCGGAUUUACUGGGCGUAAAGCGCACGUAGGCGGACUUUUAAGUCAGGGGUGAAAUCCCGGGGCUCAACCCCGGAACUGCCUUUGAUACUGGAAGUCUUGAGUAUGGUAGAGGUGAGUGGAAUUCCGAGUGUAGAGGUGAAAUUCGUAGAUAUUCGGAGGAACACCAGUGGCGAAGGCGGCUCACUGGA